Long non-coding RNA from Perca fluviatilis (European perch), 246 nucleotides. RefSeq lists it as uncharacterized. The record is from RefSeq and is a predicted model, not a curated record. The transcript is spliced from 3 exons. Lineage: Eukaryota; Metazoa; Chordata; Actinopteri; Perciformes; Percidae.
AUGCGAGGCCGAGCCAAAGCCUGUCGCACCUGUGUCUGAACAGGAGCAUCCUGGUGAGGAGAUGACAAAAAGAUGGCGCUAACACACACGCUGAAGUUUCCCUGCCCCUCUGAACUGACCCAAGACAUCAUCACAUCCAGCCACUGCUUUCAGUCCCUCCACUACCUGCCCGUAGCCCCCAGAGCUUAAACACCACCAGCCCCAGCAUGCAGGAAUUACACAGUAUCAUCAGCACACAUGGGACGG